Molecule: long non-coding RNA, 6568 nt
Filed under: Eucalyptus grandis
Lineage: Eukaryota; Viridiplantae; Streptophyta; Magnoliopsida; Myrtales; Myrtaceae
Description: long non-coding RNA (EGRA_LNC005011)
Source: RNAcentral
ACGCUGGUGAAGAUGUCCUUCUGGGUGAGGUUGGAGCUGUAGUAAGAAAUGUCCAACAAAAACCAAGUCAUGGCAGUCCCGAGGAGGUGCGACCCGUGGCGGCGAGCGAAUUCUGUGCUGAACAAGCCGAAGUUGUUGGAUCUAUCCUCCGCAAUCUUUUCCACCUUCUCUUGCUCGGACUCAAGGUCAACGUUCAACACCGUAGACAUGUCGGCUGCCGCCUGCUUAGCGUUCUUGGCCACGAGGGCGGUGUAACGAGCGGUCUCGGGCAUCUUCAUUCGCCAGUAGAAGGUCAUAGCGGCCGGGAUCGCACCAAACAUCAGAAUGAUCCUCCACACGUAAUCGGCUUGCCGAACGGUGGAGUAAUCGACUACAGUGGAGAUAAGCCUAGCGUCAGAGUACCUAGGAGCACCGUACUUUCCAUUGAAUGCGGCCGAGACGAUGAGGGCCACGAUCCCUCCAAACAAUAUCCCGAAUCCUUGCAUGGCGAAGACUGCGGCAAUGAACGCACCACGGGUCUUCUUGUUGGCAUAUUCGGACAUGAUGGUCGCGGACAACGGGUAGUCGCCGCCGAUGCCGAACCCGAGCCAGAACCGGAAGAAACAGAGGGUGGUCAUAACGGCCUUACUGUCGUUGCCUAACGAGAGCCCAGAGGCGAUGGAGCAAACGAACAUGAGGGCCAGGGUUAAGCCAUAGACUCGUUUUCGUCCCAACUUGUCACCAAGCCACCCGAAGAAGAGCUGCCCAGCCAAAGUGCCAACCAGUGCGACUCCGUUAACAGCACCUAGUACGCCGAUAGGCAAAACGCCGGGGGCGGAAGAUGUCUUAUCAUAGUAGUAUAUCCGGCCAAGUAACUUGGUGACGAUAGAUAUGCAAAAGAGAUCGUAUGCAUCGGUGAAGAAUCCCAUCCCCGCGAUCACGAUGGCAGUGAAAUGAUACCAUUGCGUCUUGGCCACAUCGAGCGCGUUAAGCACCCCCAGUUGGUUUCGAGCCAUGACUGGCAAUCAAUCCCACCUCUGUAGAAUGAAAGAUCUUUCAAAUCACUUUAAUGAAUGCACUGUACUCCUACUGUAACUUCAGCAGCGGAAUUACAAGAAAUCGAACGCGUGUCUAGUCAAAAUGUAACAGAACAAGAGGUUAAUCAUGAGCUAUCAGCUUCAACGGUUCAAAUUAGUAGACAAGUCAAAGAGGAGUGAAACUCUCGACACUUGUUUCGAAGCACGGACAAAGGCUAACGCGUUAAAUGAGCGUCUGAUUCGUGGAACCUCUCUCCCGUUGCUAUAUUGGGUGAAUGCUCUUCAGACCUAUUCGGUAAAAUCUAUUUCUGUUUCGCGGAACAAAAAUUUUUGUUCUUUCAUUUUGGGAAAUGUAAAAAAAAAAAAAUGUGUUUGAUUAAAAUUUAUGUUCCUGAGAAUAGAUUUAGAACAGAAACAAGAAAUAGAAAAAAAUAACUUUUUGAUAUCAAGAACAAUUUCUAAAAUCAAUUUUUUGUAUUUCUUUUUUCUUCUUCUCUUUCUUUUUUUCUUCUUAUUCUUCCUUCUUGCCAGUCGCUAGCUUUGGUCAUGGCUGGCGCCAACGACUGGCUAGACGAGGGCCAGCAACCUUGUCGGAGCAUCGCCAGCCCCCGAAGACAUCGAGCCACGGUGAGGCUUGUCGACUCAUGGCUCGUCGUAGCCGCACAAGGCUUGACCUCGUCCAUAUCUGGUAAGGCUGAGCUCGCCCAGCCUCCGGUGAGCUUGCUAGGCCUCUCUCUGGCCUGGCAAGGCUCCAGCGAGCUUGCCGAAUGUCACCAAUCGGUCGCCAACCACCAAAAAUAAGAAAAAAUAAUAAAAGAAUUAAAAAAUUAAAAGAAAUAAAAAAAAACCUAAUAAUUUUACCAAUAUAUUUCUAUCUCGAGAAUAAAAGUGUUGGUAAUUUACCAAAUGCUUUUUUUGUUAAAAAAUUAUUCCCAAAAAUAAAAACAGAAAAAAUCAUUUCUCAUAAAAAAUUAUUCUCCGGAACAUAAUGGUUACCAAACGUGCUUUUGACGAGGAAAAACGCAACCAGUCAACGUGUUAAAUGAGGGUCGGAUUCGUGGAACCUCUCUCCCGUUGCUAUAUUCGAUGAACACUCUUGAUGAGAAAAAACCAACCGGUCAAAAAAUAUACCACCGAUUGGGACAAAGGACACCAGCAUCAUCAAAAAGACUUCACUUAAACCUUUUAAUAUGAGCUUGUCCAAAAAAAAAAAAAAAACCUUUUAAUAUGAGAGGCAGCUAUAAGAAGAUAGGGACAGAUUGGUGGAUUUCCAAUUAAAGAAUAGUGAACUCCGACAAGUCCGGUACAGUUUAUUCCGAGAUGAAGAAAGAUAAUCCAACCAACCAGACGGUAUUCAUUCGUAUGUGUGACCUUCGAAGUCGAUGUUUCGACAACUCUCGGUCUUGAACUAUUGUCGACACAUACCAUUAAACGCUUGAUAACUGGAAACGCAGGUUUCACGUCUACCAUGUAGAUAGUUCCUUAGCUACAGUUACCAUGAGUUUCAGAAUUCAGACUACACUGAAGCAGAAAAAUUGAAAGGAAAAUUUCUCUCAAACUGUUGAGAAAGUCAAAUAAAAAGGCGAGUUUGAUACAAAAGGAUCUGCCAUGAACAAGCAUCGGAAGACUCUAAAGAAAGCACAGAGGCAAAAAUCAAAGCAUACCAAAGUCCACCUAUCUAUGUAGGAGGAAUUAUUUCCAUAUGAGUAUGGUGAAGAGAAAAGUAUCUUUUUGUUUUCUUUUGUUUUCUGGGAAGAAGACAGAGUUAGGAGGAACAAUAGUUCAGCAUAAAUGAGCAGAUCUAUAUUUAUCUCUAAUCUCAGAAAAGGAAUAAGCAUGAGGAUUACAUAUGUUAGAAGUCAAGAACCAUCAUUUGUUCAUGCCAUGCAAGAUGCUCCCGUUGAGUUCAAAGUACGAGACGCUAUAACACGCAGAGAGCCACAGAGAGUGCUAUGAUGGUCGCUAGAAAAGCCAUCUUUUUAUCUCAUGACCUUUCGAGCUUUAAUUAUUGAAAGAAAAGGGGAAAGAAAUCAUUGUGCAUGCAAAGCAGAAAGCUCCUAGGCAGAGAUCUCUCUGAACCUAGUACCACCGAAAGGAAAACUUGUAGUGGAGUCUCCACUCAUGGAGAUAGAGACACGGAGAGAGAGAGAGAGAUACUAACCAGCUAAGCUUAGCUCCGAGCAAUGAAUGGUGGUGCUGCUGGGUUGGAUAUGGAAUGAGUGAAAUGGGAGCAGGGAUGGUCGGGUAUUUAAACGCUUCUUUGGCCGGCGGAAUACUAGAAUCAGGACGGGCAUCUGCGGGCAUCUGUCGGCAUAUGCCUCAAAAUUCAAUGUCAACGGGUGACCUUAUUUUCAUUGGUUCGGAAUCGGGUGAGCUCAGACGAUGUGCAUUUUCCCUGGGAUUUCGCAGGAAGUAUCUCCUUCCCGUUACGCCAGCUGCAAAAGAACAAAAAAAAGAGCAAUAAAAGUAUAAAGACAAAAGAUUUAUUAGAGACAUUGCUUCUGCUUUCCGUGUGAAAUGACAAACAAGGACGGCCGGUGUUCCUAACAUUCACACCCAGAGAAAAGAAGUAGAGAAAUAUAACCUCAAUGAUGAUAAUUUAUAAUAUAUAUAUAUAUAUCUCUGUGUGUGAAUCAUAAUUGUGAUGUUACCUCUAAUCAGGUGGCCUCGAUCUUUGGUUGCACCAUCGCGAGCUCGGAGCUGGAGAAGGCAGUCAAUCGUGGAGGAGGCAAGGCAAAGAUCGACAGAGAUUGUGAUGGUGAUACGACUUGAUCCGUGGCGCGGGGCGGGGAGGAGAGAGAGAGAGAGGAAUGGUGGGGAUGUCACAUCUCUCACCAUGUUCCUUCUUGUGGGCACAGGGAAUCAAGAUGAAAGAAAAGUUAUAAGAAGCAAUAGGUUGCCGUGAGAUUUUUGGGGUGAACUUGGGACGUGCAUGCGAAAUCUUUACAUUAAAAUAAGUAUUGAACAGAGAAAAGAAGAAUUCAGGUGCAAAAUUAUAAAAUUAAGCUCGCAUUUACAUGGCAAUCAUCGGUCCCGGUUAAAAUAAAAGAAGCCAAAGGAAAGAACUCUGCGACGUUUAAAGUGUAGAGAAAUUUAUGUGGCUGGAGAAAUCGUUACCUGGCCUGACUCAGUUUAAGCAGUACACAACAUGUUUCAUGCGAGCUACAUUUAGAUAAUUGUUCCUUUCUGACCGUUUAACUUCUGGAAAAGGACCAUUUUGUCUACCAGUUUUUAUGUUUUUGUUCUUUUGAGAAGAACAAAAAGGUAUGCUGAUGCGUACGCUUGUUUUGUCAAAGCAUGUGAUCUCAGUCAAGCCCAUGAUGGUCUGCUUCAUUAUUUUGCCCGAGUGGUUUCGGAGCCACGAGCGCAAAUGGGCAGUUUCACAUCUUCAGGACCAUCCAGCAUUGAUUCUUUUCAUAAUUUAAAGCACCCUUUUUAUCUUUAUCGAAUCCAACGGAUCACACAUCAAACCGACUUAGAUUCCAGAGCUGCAAGAAGAAUUUGAGAGAUCGAAUGGGGAAAGCAAAUGAUCGACAGCUCUGGAGCGAUCCACAAUACUGCAGCUAUGGGGAGAUUGAAGGCUGUUAAAAUUUAAAUGUGCGCGGAAGCAUGGUUUUGGUAUUGAUGAUAGUUUUUUAUUAGUGAUGUUGUGUGCAAGUGUAUGGUAUAGUUUGUAGAGGAUGGACAAGGGAUAAACUAGGAUAAUUGAAAGACAAAUAACGUGGGAUAUGAGAAAUAGUUUCAUUAGUUGGAUAAAAUAAUUUUACAAUAGUUGAAGGAAGUGUUGGUGGAGGAGCUUCAAGAUAUGGAGUAUUAUCUCGUGCUCCUCUCACCCUCUUUUAUGUUUGUUCUACUAUGCUCUCCCAUCUUUCCUAUUUAUAGGGUGCUCUACCAACAUUCUAGAUUUGUGUAGAAUGUUAUCCACUUUGGCUUAAUCUAGAGAGUUCUAGAUUGUAAUUUAUCCUCUCUUCUUCUAGAGAGUUCUACACAUAUGUUUCUACAUUUUUCUCUUUCUUCCAAAAACUUCAUCUAGGGAAUUCUAGAAGUUUAGCAACUCUAGGAAAUUCUAGAAAAUGGAUCACCAUUUCCAACAAAGGCCUUGGUGGAUUUCAUCCUUUGUUUCAGUCAAUGGUAAAUUCAAGUGAAACAGAACGAAUCAAAGAUUAAUUUGGGCCCUAACUUUAGUUUGCUGAAGACAGGAUCAACAUUUCCCUGUAUGCUGUUCUGGUUUUGAGCUAUCUCAGUCUGUUCUGAGUUAUAGUUUUCAGGAUUUCAUCUGCUGAUACGGCAAUGAUGAGCACAGGUCACAUUACUGAAAAGAUGCACCUCAUUGCCAUAGUACUGAAUUCGGAUGCCGGUUCAUGUCGCGUUAUCUUUUCCAAUGUUCUAGCAGAUGCAGCGUGUUGUAGGAACUUAAUCUCAUCUGCUACACAUCAGACAGUAAAUGUGUGAAAAUACCAAAUUGAAAACAUGAAAAACAAACCACUCAUAUAUAAUACAUUAACUUGAUAGACACAUCUUUUUGCUAUUACUCGAAUGCAACAUGGACUUUUACUGGUAAAUUAUUCACCCUGCUUGACGAUUCCAUAAUAUUCGGCAACACGGGAAGUUUCUUCAGCACUCAAUUUCUACUACUUCACUUGUCAACACAAAGUCACGUAGGAGUUGAAAUCAUUCUGGGAGUGUUCUAGCAGUGGACACCUCAUCGUCCUCAUUUUCACCCGUGAGCUCCUCAAGCGACUUUCCUUUCGAUUCAGGGACUAACAGAGUGAACAACAUCCCCAAGAAGUUGAGCGCACCGAGCACGAUCAACGUGUUCUUUAUUCCAAUGCCAGGCUUGUAACCGGAGUCCGGGUUCUUUCUAUCCUGAGAAGCGUACAAAAACCCAAAGGACCCGAUGAUUGCCCCUGCCUUUCCCCACGCUGCUGAUAUGCCGUGGCAAGUCGAUCGGAGCCUUGCAGGGAAAAUCUCUGCUGGGACGACAAAUGUUGUGGCAUUGGGCCCGAAGUUGGCAAAGAAGAAGGUCAAAGAGUACAGGAUCACAAAACCGGCGUGGUUUUGCUUCCAGUGAUCGUAAGGGAUCGCGAGAAUGAACAAGAACACGGCCAUGAAGAAGAAGCCCAUCAAUUGGAUAGCGAACCUUCCAAUGUGAUCAAUGAAAGCGACCGUGAACCAGUAUCCAGGGACGGUGCCGCAGAGCGCAAUCAAGGUCUGCGCUUUGGCAACGCGGAAGACUUCGUCAAUCGCGUUUAUUGUCUCUGCUUUGGGAAGCCAACCCACGUUGGUGAAGAUGUCCUUCUGGAAGAGGUUGGAGCUGUAGUAAGAAACGUCCAACAAAAACCAAGUCAUGGCAGUCCCGAGGAGGUGCAACCCGUGGCGGCGAGCGAAUUCUGUGCUGAACAAGCCGAAGUUGUUGGAUCUAUCCUCCGCAAUCCUUUCCACCUUCUCUUGCUCGGCCUCAAGGUCAACGUUCAACACCGUAGACAUGUCGGCCGCCGCCUGCUUAGCGUUCUUGGCCACGAGGGCGGUGUAACGAGCGGUCUCAGGCAUCU